This 65-nucleotide transfer RNA is filed under the name Dipodomys ordii (Ord's kangaroo rat). It matches the Rfam family "tRNA". Rfam says of the family: Transfer RNA (tRNA) molecules are approximately 80 nucleotides in length. Their secondary structure includes four short double-helical elements and three loops (D, anti-codon, and T loops). Further hydrogen bonds mediate the characteristic L-shaped molecular structure. tRNAs have two regions of fundamental functional importance: the anti-codon, which is responsible for specific mRNA codon recognition, and the 3' end, to which the tRNAs corresponding amino acid is attached (by aminoacyl-tRNA synthetases). tRNAs cope with the degeneracy of the genetic code in two manners: having more than one tRNA (with a specific anti-codon) for a particular amino acid; and 'wobble' base-pairing, i.e. permitting non-standard base-pairing at the 3rd anti-codon position. The record is from Rfam by way of RNAcentral. Lineage: Eukaryota; Metazoa; Chordata; Mammalia; Rodentia; Heteromyidae.
GGUGACUCAUUGGUAGAGUACUUGCCUUGCAUGCAUGAGGCCCUGGGUUCAAUUCCUCAGAACCA